CAGUAGCCGCGGUAAUACAGAGGGUGCAAGCGUUAAUCGGAAUUACUGGGCGUAAAGCGCGCGUAGGUGGUUUGUUAAGUUGGAUGUGAAAGCCCCGGGCUCAACCUGGGAACUGCAUCCAAAACUGGCAAGCUAGAGUACGGUAGAGGGUGGUGGAAUUUCCUGUGUAGCGGUGAAAUGCGUAGAUAUAGGAAGGAACACCAGUGGCGAAGGCGACCACCUGGACUGAUACUGACACUGAGGUGCGAAAGCGUGGGGAGCAAACAGGAUUAUAUACCCCCGUAGUCCCUGUCUCUUAUAA
RNAcentral lists this ribosomal RNA (301 nucleotides) under uncultured bacterium. Its description in RNAcentral is "partial 16S ribosomal RNA". It matches the Rfam family "Bacterial small subunit ribosomal RNA", at positions 509 to 809 of the family's 1533-position model. The record is from RNAcentral.